RNAcentral lists this long non-coding RNA (4178 nucleotides) under Malus domestica (apple). Its description in RNAcentral is "long non-coding RNA (MDOM_LNC004407)". Lineage: Eukaryota; Viridiplantae; Streptophyta; Magnoliopsida; Rosales; Rosaceae. The record is from RNAcentral.
GAACUUAUGGAUCGGGAAUCCGACAUAUGGAUCUUCCUGAAUUGGAUUGGAAACAUUUAUGAAAUGUGCUUUGACGUGCAUAUUUGGCUUGUGGUUGAUUGGCAUGUUGUGACGAAAUGUGAGGGUUAGUAGUGGACCGAUAACCCAUUGUCAUGGGGUUUGUUGUUUCAGAUCUUCUUUCAUACCUAGUUUCAUUGUUUCAUUUCUCGUUUCGUUGAGCUUUUGUGAUUUGAAUACUUGUUUCUUGUUUUGUUCUUCAAGCAUUGUUAUAUUUCUUGAACUUCCACUCGGUUCUGUUGAGUGAUCUGGAACUGGGUUUCCGCUGGGGUUCCGUUGAGUGGUUUGGUUCCCUGCUCCGUUUGGAUUCUAUUGAGUGGUCCAGAAUCCCUCAUGAUCUGCGAUUCUGUUAAGUGGUCCAUAAUUGUAUUCAGCUUGGAUUUCAUUGAGUGGUCCGAAAUCGUAUCCACUCGAAUUCUGUUGAGAGGUCCAAAAUCCCUUAUACUCUGCGAUUCCGUUGAGUGGCCCGAAAUCGUAUUCUGGUUUGGAUUCUGUUGAGUGGUUUGAAAUCUCGCUUGGUGUCUUGGUUCCGUUGAGUGGUCUGGAACCCGAUGUUGAUGGAUUUCGUUGAGUGGUUCGAAAACGCAUCAUUUGACUCGUUGGUUCCUUGAAUUUGAUUUAUUUGAGACAGUUUUUGUGAGAACCUGUAUUUUAAUAUAAUAAAGAGUGCUAUUAGAUCCACCAAAUGUCCUACUUUCCCAACCACCUAAUAAUCCUAGCUACCAUAAAAAGUUAAAAAAGUAAAAUAUUAUUUUCCCACCCACUAUUAUUCCCAAAAUAACCCUAAUAUAUUUUGUUUUAAAUAAACGGAAAAAUGAAAGACCUGGACAUUCAUCAUCUCCUUCAAAUCAUGCAUGUCCUUAAAAUCAUGGCAUCCCUUUCAUAAUAUCUCUUCCUACUAUCCCCAAGUUUUCCACCUCAAUCUCUUUCCAAGAUCCCCACCCACUAUUUUCAUUGAAUUCCAUAUCUAUGUCCCAUUAUUCCCUACCCCCUUCCCUCGGGGCAAACCCCAUUACUCACAUCUAUCGCCGCUUCGCAGAGACCUUGGAUCCCAAACCACUCUUCUUCCUCCUUUUUUGUCAAACCCACAAAUCACACCGCUAGGUCUCUUUCUCCUCCAUUGAGGUUUCUCGCCUCCGUCUAGCACACACCCAUUCCUUCCUCCUUUUCUGCAAAGCCACAAAUUAACAUAUUAACAAAUUGACAAAUUAACAAAUUAAACCUAACAUGCACAAAGUUAACGAAAUAAAUUAAAUUCCUAAUCCUUAAAUUACAAAAUUAAUACAAUAAUUAAACCCUAAUUUAAAAAAUAAAUAAUUAAUCUAAAUGAAAUUGCAAAAAGAUAACAUAUUAGGCUGCCCAUUGUGUGGCUUUUCCAAACUUCCCCUCCCCUUAAUGUAAAAUAUUGAUGUACUAAAAAAACUGCAAAACAAAAAGGAAAAAAUAUGCAGAACCCUAAAUGCAUAUAUUCCCCACCCCGAAGCAACCCCUAUCCCGAGCCCAAUCCACACCCUGCACCAUCAAUCCUAACACCCUGUCUCCGCCACUACACCACCCACCCCCAUGCCCACCCAUCCCCAAUAACUCAAACCGCGCCACCCCGAACCCAUGCCUCAUCACUAAUCCCUAAAUCCAUCCAUAAUUCCCCAAUCCCGGGGUGUAUUCAAUUGAGAAUUUGAGAGAUUUUAAUGGAUUUAUAAAUCCAUAGAUUUUUAUGGAGUCUAAUUGAUUUGUAUAGAUUCCAUGUAAAAUUUUGAUUCAAUUCCCUCAAAAUCUCUCGGGGAGAGGUGAGAUUUGUGGAUGCUUAAAAUACACUAUAAAAUCUCUUAAAUUCCCUCUAAUUUCUCAACUUCUUCAAAUUCUUUAAAAUCAAAUUCUAAUUGAAUACAUGAGGAAUGUUAUAAACUUCUUUAAAAUUCUAAUUAAAUACACAUUGAAUUUCAGAGAAUCACUUAAUUCUUGAUUGUAUAUUCUUAGAUUCAUUAAAAGAAUUAAAAUUUCUCAAAAGCCCAAUUGAAUACACACCUUAAAUCCGUAAUCCCUAAAUCCAUCCAUAAUUCCCCAAUCCCUUAAAUCCCUAAUCCUCAAUCCCUUAAAACCCUAAUAUGCAAUUAGAAAAGAAAAAAAAAAUUUAGGUAUUGAACUUACCUUUAAUGGAGAGAGAUUUUUGGGGAGAUGGGCACGAUGAUGGCAGCUGAGGAGGUGAGAGAGCUGAGAUGGGGACCGCGGCUGAGGAGGUGAUUUCUAGAUAAGGAGAGAUAGAGGUGAGGUUAGAGAGGUGAGGUUAGAGAGUUUGAUGGGGAGAGAGAAUGGUCUGGGUUCGAGAGAGAGAAUGGGGUGUGUUUGAGAGAGAACGAGAGGAAGAAGCAGGGCCGUCCCUGAGAAUUUGGGGGCCUUAGGCGAGCUUUCAAAGUGCGGCCCUAAAAUUCUCUGAUCUCUGGUUCUUUGUAUAUUGAUUUGUAUAAAAAAGAAUUCGCUAAGUACAUAAAAAGUUCUAUUUUCACAUCAAAUAUCAUUAAAAAUAAAUAUCAAAAGAAGAUAAAUAUACAAACAUUAUUUAAACAUUACAUGAUUCACGUUUUUAGAUACAAAUGUACUAAAUGUUUGCAGUCAAGUGUCUAAGAUUGAGAAUGAAGAACAAUAAAACUUGAUGAUCAAGAGAGUAAGGAACAAUAAAACUUGAUUGAUGAGUAUAAUAAAUUCAACGCCAAUUGUUUCUCUUGUGUUUUUUUCUUUUCUAAAAUCAACAUCACACUAACGAAUUGAAUAUUAAAAUAAUCCAUUGAAUAAAAAGUUAUUGAAAAGAAAAAUAUAAAUUCAAAGUUUUGAUUACCUUAAAGUACAAUCUUUAAGACCAUAUGAUAGUUGGUUUAAACAUUCAAUAGAAAUGGAGAGAAUGAGAAGUUGGUUUAAACAUUCGAUAGAAAUGGAGAGAAUGAGAAGUUGAAAGAAAAAGAUUGCAAAGAUACUGAGUUUUAUAACUUUAUAUGAAUUUGGAUAAAUGGAUUGUGAGUUGGACAGAUGGAUUGGCAGUAAAUUUGAAAAACAAGAAAAAUAAAAAAAAAUCUAGUGACUAAAAGGCAGCUUCGUGUUUCAAACUCAACACCCCAAAUAAAAAUGAAGCCAACAUUUUCACUGCACUAACAAAUGAAUUAUGAUAUUUUUUACUUUUUUUUGUAUUUAUAUGUUAAUUACAGGAUAUAAAUUUUUUUUGGGGGUCAUUCUGAAGUGGGGGCCCUAGGCGGGCGCCUACUUGUGCUACCUUCAAGGCCGGCCCUGGGAAGAAGACUGCGAGGAAGAGACCUGGUAAGAAUUAAUACGAUACACUUUGCACCGCGAAGACCUUUGUUGUGCAACUUCUCAUUUCUCACGCAAUCUUUCUUGAAAUUUUCAAAACCCGCCCAAGUAUUGCCUCAUCCAGCAAAGUAAUGCCUUAUUUGGCAAGUGAAUCAUUCGCCCUCGGAUCCUAGAGGAGGGGCGGAAUCGGCUAUCAGAUCAAAAAUUAAAACAAGAAUUGAGAUAUAAGUCGUUUGGGAAAGAAGAGAAAGGGAGAGUUAAUUUGUGCUUUUAAAGACCUGUGGGACCUUUACACGACGAAGCAUUCAUCGUGCAAAGUUCACAAUAAUUACUACUCGUUUAAACCCUGAUUGUUAGUUCCAAACAAACUUUGCUUUCGUCGCGCAAAACAUGCAAUAAAUACUUCCCCUUAAAUGACCCACCGACCAUUUCAAAAAACACUUGGGGCGAUGAAACUGUUGUCGCUCAAAGUUUAAGGAGAUUGAAACCACAUUUCGUCACACAAAGUUACCUACAAAAAAUUAUAUUGGGAUAGUGAAAUAGAUAAGUGAAUGUAUUAGUAGUUCAGACAGUUUUUCAAAGUACUAUAUUGACAAAUUCAUUAACCUUUGCAGUUAACUACCUUUUUCAAGUUGCACACAUUUGCCUCCUAAUGCUUAAAGCUAGUUAACUAUAAUGUUUAAUGACCUCGUCAAUACCAAUAAUUUGACAAACUGUUUUAUCUACAACAUUUACUUAUCUAUUUCACUAUCCUAAUAUACAUUUUUUCCAGAUAGUGGUGACUUUGAGUUUUUUGGUUUUCUAGUCUACCGGAAAAAAACUGA